CACACACACACACAACCUAAAGGUCUUAACCUUCAACCAGCCCUCUGACAAGUUUGCAGAAAUGUCCCACAGAAGUCCAGUUGGUCCUUCCAAAGAACACAACUUGUGAUAUAAUAGAGCUGAAAUAAAACCAGGAGAGGGGUUACAGCUUGUGUUAUUCUGCUAACCUGUGCCAUUCUCUAGGUUAUAAAUAAAAAGUCUUUAACGGUUAGUUUAUUUUUAGAUAGGAACUAGCUGCGUUUUGUUUCUGGUAUUGUUUUCAUUAAGAUUCUAGGAAAUGUUUUUGUGUAAAACAAGCAACAACAACAACAAGCUCUUACCUGGGAAACUUAACAUUUGAUCUAUUUUAAGGUGUUUUUUUGUGUAACGUUAUAAAUAAUUACUCUCUUCAAUAGCUUCCUGAACAGCAUCAUGACAGUUUAGCAUGACGAGGUUAUUUACAGUUGUUAAUGUCAGCAGUAAAAUAUUGACCUUCUGAGGUGUCCAGAGGUCAAGUUCUGCAGAAAUGUCCUCAGUUAAGGUUUAUAAGUCAUUUAAUAUCAGAUGUUAUUAAAUUCUGGAGAUUAGAGGCAUUUAAGACGGCACCAAUCCAUCCUGGUCUUGGCUGUACUCAGACUAGCUGUUAGCCUAUCAGUCCUAAAGUACAUAUACUCUUUUUCUGAACUGAGGCCUUUAGGUAAGCUUUUUAUUUUCCCAUUAUAUAUACUUGAUCUGAUUUUUACACACACAAAAAAAACAGAAGUCAGUCUAAUAAAGACAGAAGUUUAUGUGGCGGACACUCGUCUCAGUGAAAAGUCAUCUCCACCUAUAGACCCUUUUACUACCCACUUCAUCAAAAGUUGUGCGCGCACCCUGGUGACGAGAAUGAAGCGCUUCCUCGUUCACACUCGACACUAAAACAGCGUUUUAAACCCUUUGUUUCUAAGUUCUGAGCACAUGAAAAAUGUCGGGUUGUUCCGUGUGUGGAUGCCAGAAUCGCUUCUCUUCAAGCAGUGGACUGAAAUUUUACAGAAUUCCGAAGGGAGCACAUCCAUUUCAACAAAAUCGGAGGCGUCUGUGGCUGCAGGCCAUCAAAAGGGUUGAUGAAAACUGGACUGAAAACACCAUCUGAAAUGCUCGAGUUUGUAGCGCCCAUUUUAUAUCAGGUAAGGUAAUUAUGUACUAAGAUUACAGCAGAAAGCUGGUUAACGUGUGUUCCAUUAAAUAAAGUAAGUUGUGUUUGCUGGUUUGCUUUUAAGCAGUCUAUUUAUUUACAGGCGAGGCGUCAUUGGACUCCUCGAGUCCUGAUUUUGUGCCUUCUGCGUUUACGUACACAAAGCGAAGUCAAAACCCCCGUGCAAAGAUGGACAGGUGUCAACGGAAAAGGAGAAGAGAUGAAAUGUCUUGCACGCCAUCAGAUCAGCUGGCUGCUUCAGAGAAUACAGAUCAGCAACCAUCAUUGGCUCACCAUGCCGCUGAAGAGGACCUCCCUGUUCCAAGGAGGGAAUAUGAUGGCCUACAACAAAGAUAUGCUGGGCUUCAUAAAAACCAUGUCAACCUGCAGCUGGAGUUUGAAUAACUUAAGGCAGGAAAUUGUAAACUUAAUGAGGAGCUGAAAAAUGCAGCGUUUUCCUAUGCAAAUAUUAGGUGCAACAGGGGAGCACUGAUUUUUUUUUCACAGGACUUACAACUUUUGUCUUUGAUUGGCUGCUAAUAAAAAUAACAGACAGUGUGGAGAUUAUUUGCCAAAAACUCACAGCUCAUGAUCAUCUAUUGGUUGUGCUAAUGAAAUUAAGACUGGGUCUAAGCAACACGGAUUUGGCGUACAGAUUUAAUGUUUCUAAAACAACUAUAUCAAAUAUUUGUCGAAGCUGGAUACCUGCCAUGUCUGUAAUCCUUAAACCACUCAUUAAAUGGCCAAGUAAGGGAGCCGUACUAAAGAACAUGCCCAAAGUUUUCAGACGGAAUUUCAAACGAUGUCGGUGCAUAAUAGACUGUACAGAAAUGUUCAUUGCUAGACCUAGCAAUCUAACUGCUAGGGCCCAGACAUGGUGAAAUCACAAACACAGCAACACAAUUAAAUAUUUGAUUGGCAUCACCCCAGCUGGAGCAAUUUCCUUUCUGUCACCUGGAUGGGGUGGAAGGGUUUCAGACAAACAAAUAACAAAAGGCUUUUAUAUCUUUUAGAACGCAAUGCUGAGAUUCUAGCUGAUAGAGGAUUUCAAAUCUGAGAUGAACUUGCCGCUUCUGGAGCCACUCGCCGUAUACGUCAUUUCACAGAAGGGAAAAAGCAACUCUCUGCUCAGGAGGUAGACUCAUCAAGACAACUGUCUCAUGUCAGGAUACACGUUGAACGAGUAAUAGGACGCUGGAAGAACUGGAAGAAUUUGCUAACCGUAAUUCCUGUGCCACAGCUCAAUGUUCUAGAUGACAUUGUGAUUGUGUGUGCUGCUCUAACAAACCUCUGUAAGAGUGUUGUUCCCAAAAAGAAAAAAACACCAAUAAUAUCCAGUUCUAUGAUCCCAUGCAGACUAUAAACAGUGCUACUGUCAUUUGCUAGAAUAUGUAAAACUGAUUUUGAAUUACUGUAAGAAAAAAUGUAAAGCUGCUGCUAUGGUUUUUUUGUACUAAAUAAACAAUUUUACAUUUC
Nothobranchius furzeri (turquoise killifish) is the source of this 2629-nucleotide non-coding RNA. The record is from RefSeq and is a predicted model, not a curated record. Lineage: Eukaryota; Metazoa; Chordata; Actinopteri; Cyprinodontiformes; Nothobranchiidae.